Molecule: ribosomal RNA, 477 nt
Filed under: uncultured bacterium
Lineage: Bacteria
Description: bacterial SSU rRNA
Rfam family: Bacterial small subunit ribosomal RNA
Source: RNAcentral
CAUGCAAGUCGAACGGCAAGGCAGGUGCUGCACCUGCCCUAGAGUGGCGGACUGGUGAGUAACACGUGGGUGACAUGCCUUUAGUUGGGGAUAGCUACUAGAAAUAGUAGAUAAUACCGAAUGUGAUCAAUAUUUAUAGAUGAUGUUGAGGAAAGGAGCUAAGCUUCGCUAAAAGAUUGGCCCGCGGCCCAUUAGCUAGUUGGUAGGGUAAAGGCUUACCAAGGCGAUGAUGGGUAUCCGGCCUGAGAGGGUGAUCGGACACAUUGGGACUGAGAUACGGCCCAGACUCCUACGGGAGGCAGCAGCUAAGAAUAUUCCACAAUGGACGAAAGUCUGAUGGAGCGACGCCGCGUGGAUGAUGAAGGCCCGAAAGGUUGUAAAAUCCUUUUACACUGGAGGAAUAAGCAGAGUAGGGAAUGACUCUGUGAUGACUGUACAGUUUGAAUAAGCAACGGCUAAUUACGUGCCAGCCGCUGC